CUUUUCUGAGAGGAAAAGGAAAGGGAAAGGGAGAGAAAAAGGAGAGACACUGAACUGAAUGGAGGAUUGUGCCUGAGAAGAACCUACAGAGUAAGUAGCCUGUUGGAUAAACCUGAAGCUUAUCUUAUGGAAUAUUUUCUUCCUGAGUGAUUAGUGCGAUGCCCUCACACACACUCAAGCAACACCAUUGCUCCUCUGAUCCUUAAGUGAGGUAAACAUGAAAAGAACUACACUUUUCUGGUGAUGCAGCAUUUCACUUGUAGUUAGAGCAUGGCACCAAAGCAUCAUUACGUUUACUUAUUUUUAUUAAAGUUUCA
Molecule: long non-coding RNA, 317 nt
Filed under: Rhinolophus ferrumequinum (greater horseshoe bat)
Lineage: Eukaryota; Metazoa; Chordata; Mammalia; Chiroptera; Rhinolophidae
Description: lncRNA (ENSRFEG00010013230.1)
Source: RNAcentral